UUAGAGUUUGAUCCUGGCUCAGAUUGAACGCUGGCGGCAGGCUUAACACAUGCAAGUCGAGCGGUAACAGGAAUUAGCUUGCUAAUUUGCUGACGAGCGGCGGACGGGUGAGUAACGCGUAGGAAUCUGCCUGGUAGUGGGGGACAACAUGUGGAAACGCAUGCUAAUACCGCAUACGCCCUACGGGGGAAAGGAGGGGAUCUUCGGACCUUUCGCUAUCAGAUGAGCCUGCGUGAGAUUAGCUAGUUGGUGGGGUAAAGGCUCACCAAGGCGACGAUCUCUAGCUGGUCUGAGAGGAUGAUCAGCCACACUGGGACUGAGACACGGCCCAGACUCCUACGGGAGGCAGCAGUGGGGAAUAUUGCACAAUGGGCGCAAGCCUGAUGCAGCCAUGCCGCGUGUGUGAAGAAGGCCUUCGGGUUGUAAAGCACUUUCAGUCAGGAGGAAAGGUUAGUAGUUAAUACCUGCUAGCUGUGACGUUACUGACAGAAGAAGCACCGGCUAACUCCGUGCCAGCAGCCGCGGUAAUCUC
This 532-nucleotide ribosomal RNA is filed under the name uncultured Marinomonas sp. RNAcentral describes it as "bacterial SSU rRNA". It matches the Rfam family "Bacterial small subunit ribosomal RNA", at positions 1 to 526 of the family's 1533-position model. Lineage: Bacteria; Pseudomonadati; Pseudomonadota; Gammaproteobacteria; Oceanospirillales; Oceanospirillaceae. The record is from RNAcentral.